GUCCACGCCGUAAACGGUGGGCACUAGUUGUGGGAACCUUCCACGGUUUCUGCGACGCAGCUAACGCAUUAAGUGCCCCGCCUGGGGAGUACGAUCGCAAGAUUAAAACUCAAAGGAAUUGACGGGGCCCCGCACAAGCAGCGGAGCAUGCGGCUUAAUUCGACGCAACGCGAAGAACCUUACCAAGGCUUGACAUAUACCGGAAUAUGGCAGAAAUGUCAUAGCUGUAAAAGGUCGGUAUACAGGUGGUGCAUGGUUGUCGU
Molecule: ribosomal RNA, 263 nt
Filed under: uncultured bacterium
Lineage: Bacteria
Description: partial 16S ribosomal RNA
Rfam family: Bacterial small subunit ribosomal RNA
Source: RNAcentral